RNAcentral lists this transfer RNA (76 nucleotides) under Cervus elaphus hippelaphus. Its description in RNAcentral is "tRNA-Glu". The record is from RNAcentral. Lineage: Eukaryota; Metazoa; Chordata; Mammalia; Artiodactyla; Cervidae.
UCCCUGGUGGUUUAGUGGCCAGGAUUCAGCAUUUCCCCCUGCCUCGGUCUUGACUUCUGUCUCUGGCCAGAAACCA